AGAACGAACGCUGGCGGCAGGCUUAACACAUGCAAGUCGAACGCCCCGCAAGGGGAGUGGCAGACGGGUGAGUAACGCGUGGGAAUCUACCUGGUUCUACGGAAUAACACAGGGAAACUUGUGCUAAUACCGUAUACGCCCCAAGGGGGAAAGAUUUAUCGGUGCCAGAUGAGCCCGCGUAAGAUUAGCUAGUUGGUGGGGUAAUGGCCUACCAAGGCGACGAUCUUUAGCUGGUCUGAGAGGAUGAUCAGCCACACUGGGACUGAGACACGGCCCAGACUCCUACGGGAGGCAGCAGUGGGGAAUAUUGGACAAUGGGCGAAAGCCUGAUCCAGCCAUGCCGCGUGAGUGAUGAAGGCCUUAGGGUUGUAAAGCUCUUUCAGUGGGGAAGAUAAUGACGGUACCCACAGAAGAAGCCCCGGCUAACUUCGCGCCAGCAGCCGC
This 444-nucleotide ribosomal RNA is filed under the name uncultured bacterium. RNAcentral's name for it is "SSU rRNA". It matches the Rfam family "Bacterial small subunit ribosomal RNA", at positions 26 to 518 of the family's 1533-position model. The record is from RNAcentral.